This 460-nucleotide ribosomal RNA is filed under the name uncultured bacterium. RNAcentral describes it as "partial 16S ribosomal RNA". It matches the Rfam family "Bacterial small subunit ribosomal RNA", at positions 338 to 795 of the family's 1533-position model. The record is from RNAcentral.
CCUACGGGGUGCAGCAGUGAGGAAUAUUGGUCAAUGGGCGGAAGCCUGAACCAACCAAGUCGCGUGAGGGAAUAAGGCCCUACGGGUCGUAAACCUCUUUUGCCGGGGAGCAAGGGCGGGGACGUGUCCCGGCCCGGAGAGUACCCGGAGAAAAAGCAUCGGCUAACUCCGUGCCAGCAGCCGCGGUAAUACGGAGGAUGCGAGCGUUCUCCGGAUUUAUUGGGUUUAAAGGGUGCGUAGGCGGGCUUUUAAGUCAGCGGUAAAAAUUCGGGGCUCAACCCCGUCCGGCCGUUGAAACUGGGGGCCUUGAGUGGGCGAGAAGAAGGCGGAAUGCGUGGUGUAGCGGUGAAAUGCAUAGAUAUCACGCAGAACCCCGAUUGCGAAGGCGGCCGCCUGGAACAAAACUGACGCUGAGGUGCGAAAGCGUGGGUAGCAAACAGGAUUAGAUACCCGGGUAGUC